Molecule: ribosomal RNA, 535 nt
Filed under: uncultured bacterium
Lineage: Bacteria
Description: bacterial SSU rRNA
Rfam family: Bacterial small subunit ribosomal RNA
Source: RNAcentral
AGAGAAUAGAUACCCUGGUAGUCCUAGCCCUAAACGGUGCACGUUUGCUGUAAAGGAAUCGACCCCUUUUGUGGCGAAAGCUAAACGCGAUAAACGUGCCGCCUGGGGAGUACGGUCGCAAGAUUAAAACUCAAAGAAAUUGACGGGGGCCUGCACAAGCGGUGGAGUAUGUGGCUUAAUUCGAUGCAACGCGAAGAACCUUACCUGGCCUUGACAUGCAAGUGGUAGAACCAUGAAAGUGGGACGAUCCCGCAAGGGAAGCUUGCACAGGUGCUGCAUGGCUAGUCGUCAGCUCGUGUCGUGAGAUGUUGGGUUAAGUCCCGCAACGAGCGCAACCCUUGUGUCCUGUUGCCACCCCCACGAGAGUGGGAGCACUCUGGACAGACUGCCUCGCUUAAACGGGGAGGAAGGUGGGGAUGACGUCAAGUCAGUAUGGCCCUUACGGCCAGGGCUGCACACGUACUACAAUGCCCGAUACAGAGGGAAGCAAGACCGUCAGGUGGAGCAAAUCCCACAAAAUCGGGCCCAGUUCAGA